RNAcentral lists this ribosomal RNA (497 nucleotides) under uncultured bacterium. RNAcentral describes it as "partial 16S ribosomal RNA". It matches the Rfam family "Bacterial small subunit ribosomal RNA", at positions 28 to 507 of the family's 1533-position model. The record is from RNAcentral.
GAUGAACGCUGGCGGCGUGCCUAAUACAUGCAAGCCGAGCGAACGGACGAGAAGCUUGCUUCUCUGAUGUUAGCGGCGGACGAGUGAGUAACACGUGGAUAACCUACCUAUAAGACUGGGAUAACUUCGGGAAACCGGAGCUAAUACCGGAUGAUAUUUUGAACCGCAUGGUUCAAAAGUGAAAGACGGUCUUGCUGUCACUUAUAGAUGGAUCCGCGCUGCAUUAGCUAGUUGGUAAGGUAACGGCUUACCAAGGCAACGAUGCAUAGCCGACCUGAGAGGGUGAUCGGCCACACUGGAACUGCGCCACGGUCCAGACUCCUACGGGAGGCAGCAGUAGGGAAUCUUGCGCAUUGGGCGAAAGCCUGACGGAGCAACGCCGCGUGAGUGAUGAAGGUCUUCGGAUCGUAAAUCUCUGCUAUUAGGGAAGAACAUAUGUGUAAGUAACUGUGCACAUCUUGACGGUACCUAAUCAGAAAGCCACGGCUAACUACGUG